RNAcentral lists this long non-coding RNA (1040 nucleotides) under Olea europaea subsp. europaea. The record is from RNAcentral. Lineage: Eukaryota; Viridiplantae; Streptophyta; Magnoliopsida; Lamiales; Oleaceae.
UGAAUAAUGUGAAAAGUUCUACAAUAAAAUAAUGAGAAAAAAUAUUUAUACUAGCCCUAAAAUCUAGUAAGAAUAGAAAAACAAUAAUUAAAGAUUACAAGAAUUUUAACAAAAUGAGGAAAUUCGCGAAAAAUGAAACUUUUUUAUCCUGAAAUUGGUCUAUGCGACCGCAAGGUAGAAUGUUGUGUGGUCGCAUGGAUCUCACAAAAUUUCCUUAGCUGCUCUCCGGUUGCCGGUAUGAGACCGCAUGGCUGUUAAAACUGUAUGGUCACAUGGGUCUUUGUGUGGUCUCCAACUUUGACCUCUUGUAUCGAGCUUAUCCAAAUGCUUUCGGCUUUCGGCCCCAGCAUGGAAUUUGCCCCAUUUCUCGCCACAAUCAUCGUUUCAUCAAUUGUUGAUUGAACAAAUAGCCCCAUCACUUGAUUUACUCGCUUUGCACUUGAACGCAUCAUCGAUCAACCUUCGAUAAUCAACGGGUAUAGUCUGGGACUUGUCUUUGUUAGGCUCGGCUCUUGGAUCACAUCAGAUUACAUAAUAUAACUUGGAAGGAAAAGAUUGGAUAAAAAAGUUGAUUGUAUUUUAAACUGACAAAUUAUAAAGUGUCGUGUGGCAUUAUUUAAACCAUUAUGUAAAUUUGUAUAUACAUGUAGCAAAUCCUAUCUCAAAUUGCCUUUCUACGUGCAAGCCAGAAAUUUGUACACCAAAUCUCUAACCAGGAGUCAUUAUGAUGAACUGGUGGAUCAAGAAAAAUGGGCCACCAUUAAAUCACUUUUUUGGGCUCUUAGAAUGAUAGCUACUUUGAAGAUUUCACAUUAUGACAUCUUUCUAGUUUGAUUUAUCACAAAUAAGCUUUAGGAAAAUGUGAUGGCUUUAUUAUUAGUAGUAAAACGAGGCGAAAGCUUUCAAUCACAUUGAACAAGGUAACCAAGAGUGCUUCAACAUUUAUGGUUUAACAUAUAGAAUAAGAGGAGAAAAGGAUCCAUUUAGAGUCAGGAUGGAUAACUUUUUGGGAAGAGUACAAACAUUUUAUAAUGUUUUAA